Molecule: non-coding RNA, 2455 nt
Organism: Anolis sagrei ordinatus
Lineage: Eukaryota; Metazoa; Chordata; Lepidosauria; Squamata; Anolidae
Source: RefSeq, a predicted model, not a curated record
UCUUUCCCUCCCUCUCUCCCAAAACCUCCUCCGCGACGUCCUCAAGGUCCCCGAGAGAGACCGAAAUCCAAAUCCGGUGCCUGCCUGCCGCGGCUUGGGCUCAAUCACUUCAUCCGGGGAAAGGACAAGCAAAAAAAGUUGCUGCUGCUUCCUUUUAAAAAAAUCAGACGCCCCUUUCCUUUCUUCCUUUCGCUUGACCUCUUCCUCUUCUUCUUCCAGUCCCUUCCUUGCUCCCUUUCCCCUCUCUCCGAAGGCUAAGUCCAGCCUUGAUCCAUGGCAGAAGAGAAGAAGCGAGGAGGAGGAGAGCGCCGGCCCAAAGUGGUGCGAACGAUUUGUUAGUUCAUGAGCCUAAUUAGUGCGGAGGAUCACAUAAACAGCUUCCUCUGAAGCCUGGUAAAUGGCUUGAUGAUUGGUCGCUAUUACUCGCCUGGAGGAGGGGGGCAAGGAGGAGGAGGAGGAGGAGGAGGGAAAGGAGGGAAGGAAGGAAGGAGAGAAGCAGAAAGGCGCUUUCAAGUGCGUCAGAGGCGAAAACUUCUGGCCCCCGCGAUCCUGGAGGGGUGGAUCCCAGCCCGGAACUGGAACGGACUCUUCUCCGGACCGCAGGAAACCGGAGCAGAGCAGGAGACGCUUCGGCGGAGCCUCGGAGAGGAGUCAGUAAUUAUAUUCUGCCUUUCUCUCCCCGAAGGGGACUCAGGGCGGAUCACAGAACACAUAUACAGCAAACAUUCACUGCUGAUUAUACAAUGACAAGACAACAGAUAGAGCAAUUUGGAAGAGGCCGAUUUGGAGUGGAUACUUUCAACUAUCUGAUUGUAAGAAGAGUGCCUUCAAAAGAUUGCACAGCAUUUACAGAAUCCCUCAGCUAUGUGACGAUAGAAGCAUUGUAAUGAAUGGCAGAGUGUCAUGCAUAAAUGAACAAAUGAGCUAUUUUCAUGGCCCUUGACCCAUCCAGAAUGCAUCUUUUCCCAACAAUAAAGGUGAAUUGCUUCUCCUACAGGACUUCAGGAAUAGCAGUUGAAUGACACAGUCCAGGAAGGGAGAGAAAAACAGUGGAAUGAACAACUGACUUUGAAGAAGAUGCUGUUAGGAACAAGUUUGGCUUCUUUGACUAUUGUCUGCAGUUCCAUGAAGAUAUACCUCUGGCAAGUGAUUGGAUUGCAUCUCACAAAUGAGUAUCACAUUAUUCUCCUUUCUUACAUGGACACAACUCGAUGAUGAAGCCUACAGUCCUACACGCAUGGCUUGGAAGCUGCCAUCUACUGUGAAUAAAAGAAGCUGCAAGAGAAUGAAUGAACAUCCAGCAAAAGAUCCUAAAUGUCUGUGUAGCAGUUCUGUCACUGAAGACAAGUAGGUCUGGCCAUGUAAGCUGCCUGGGUGGGAGACCACCUGGAAACCAUAUGUGAGCUACACUGAGAUCCUUGGAGAGUGAGCUGGAUAGGAAGUAGAAGAAAGAAGUGCUGACAGUGAAGGAAUGCUUUUCCACCAAGAUUUUACCAUUCCCAUUUUUAAUUAAAUUGUGUAAGUAUGAUAAUGAGAAUCAUUACAAAAGAGUUACAGAUACACAUUUACAGCACAAAUGAAGAACUAAGGCCAGCAUGCCCAAAAGUUAAUAAUUUAAAAGUUGAUAAUUAACAAUGGGAGAGAAGAGAAGAGGAGAAAGGAUGGGCAAAAGCAAAGGUGACAAAGGAGAAAUGUUAGCAAAUGUAAGGUAAUGUUUAACCCUAUGAAAAUAAACUACAAUAAUCAGUUAUCUUCCUGGUGACUGAUUAAUAUCCUUCAAGAAAUGUCACUUGGAAAAAAAAACAUGGAUAGUGUAUAAUGUAUUUCCAUUAUCUAUCAUUACCUCUCUACAAAAGCAAAGCAUUUUUUUAACUUACUGGACUGCCUGCAUUACAUCUCCAACUAAUAGGCUAGCAGACCUGUUGUGUGUGGUCAGAGGGCUCCUUCACCCUGAUGCUCAGGAUGGGACCCCUGACCACCCGGUGGCUCAGUGUGGCGAUUUCGCACACCACUUUGCAGACAAAGUCACUCAGAUCCACUCCAACUUGGACACCAGCAUUGUUGCACUACCAGUAGAUGUAUCCAGGGCACUUGCUUGUCCUAUUUUAAUAGACUCAUUUCAGUUUGUUCAGCUUGAUGACAUGGACAAGAUACUUGAAACAGUGAGGGAGACCACAUGGAGUCUGGACCCUUGCCCUUCCUGGCUUAUUAAACAAGCCAGAGGGAGUAGGUUGAAUGGAUCUUGAGGACUGUCAGUGCCUCAUUGGAACAGGGCAAAAUCCCAACCUGCUUUUAAACAGCAGUUCUAAAACCAGUUUUCAAAAAACAGUCCCUUGAUCCUUUGGUGUUUAACAACUAUCGGCCCAUUUCCAACCUCCCCUUUUUUGGACAAGGUUCUAGAGCACGUGGUCAUCACUCAACUUCAGGGAUUCCUGAAUGAAACUGAUUAUCUAGA